Molecule: ribosomal RNA, 253 nt
Filed under: uncultured bacterium
Lineage: Bacteria
Description: partial 16S ribosomal RNA
Rfam family: Bacterial small subunit ribosomal RNA
Source: RNAcentral
UACGUAGGUGGCAAGCGUUAUCCGGAAUUAUUGGGCGUAAAGCGCGCGCAGGCGGUUUCUUAAGUCUGAUGUGAAAGCCCACGGCUCAACCGUGGAGGGUCAUUGGAAACUGGGAAACUUGAGUGCAGAAGAGAAGAGUGGAAUUCCACGUGUAGCGGUGAAAUGCGUAGAGAUGUGGAGGAACACCAGUGGCGAAGGCGACUCUUUGGUCUGUAACUGACGCUGAGGCGCGAAAGCGUGGGGAGCGAACAGG